RNAcentral lists this ribosomal RNA (493 nucleotides) under Arthrobacter sp. 4S3.A10. RNAcentral describes it as "bacterial SSU rRNA". It matches the Rfam family "Bacterial small subunit ribosomal RNA", at positions 60 to 566 of the family's 1533-position model. Lineage: Bacteria; Bacillati; Actinomycetota; Actinomycetes; Micrococcales; Micrococcaceae. The record is from RNAcentral.
AGUCGAACGAUGAUCCCAGCUUGCUGGGGGAUUAGUGGCGAACGGGUGAGUAACACGUGAGUAACCUGCCCUUAACUCUGGGAUAAGCCUGGGAAACUGGGUCUAAUACCGGAUAUGACUCCUCAUCGCAUGGUGGGGGGUGGAAAGCUUUAUUGUGGUUUUGGAUGGACUCGCGGCCUAUCAGCUUGUUGGUGAGGUAAUGGCUCACCAAGGCGACGACGGGUAGCCGGCCUGAGAGGGUGACCGGCCACACUGGGACUGAGACACGGCCCAGACUCCUACGGGAGGCAGCAGUGGGGAAUAUUGCACAAUGGGCGCAAGCCUGAUGCAGCGACGCCGCGUGAGGGAUGACGGCCUUCGGGUUGUAAACCUCUUUCAGUAGGGAAGAAGCGAAAGUGACGGUACCUGCAGAAGAAGCGCCGGCUAACUACGUGCCAGCAGCCGCGGUAAUACGUAGGGCGCAAGCGUUAUCCGGAAUUAUUGGGCGUAAAGA